UACGGGGGGGGCAAGCGUUGUUCGGAAUUACUGGGCGUAAAGGGUUCGUAGGUGGCUUGCUCAGUCAAACGUGAAAUCCCUCGGCUUAACCGGGGAACUGCGCUUGAUACUGGAUGGCUUGAGAUUGGGAGAGGGAUGCGGAAUUCUUGGUGUAGCGGUGAAAUGCGUAGAUAUCAAGAGGAACACCUGAGGUGAAGACGGGUUGCUGGGCUGACACUGACGCUGAGGCGCGAAAGCUAGGGUAGCAAACGGG
Molecule: ribosomal RNA, 253 nt
Filed under: uncultured bacterium
Lineage: Bacteria
Description: partial 16S ribosomal RNA
Rfam family: Bacterial small subunit ribosomal RNA
Source: RNAcentral